UUCUUAUUAUUAAAAAAAAAAAAAAACAGAAUCUUCAAAAUGUUAGAGCAAAAUUAAUCCACACGCUACCACAAUUUCUCUUAUUAUCAAAAUCUCCAUAAUUCAAUAAAGAACUCCACAGAUUCAACAAACAAUCUUCAUCAUGAUGAGAUCGUAAAAACAACACAUCAACAACAAAAAAAAAAAACACUAAAACCCAAAACCCAAAAUUCAAAAUUCAAAACCUCUGAAAUAAACCAAAACAACAAAAACAAACUCACCUCUUGUAAAAACAACAUUCGAACAACGAUCCGAGGAAUCAAAUUGCGAUCACGUAACGAAAAUUCCGAGGUAACCGAUUUUUUUCUGACAGAGAAAAAAAUGUCUAAGAUCUAAACAGAAUUUGCAACUGAAAACACAAAAUCCUCAAGUUAUAUUUUUUUGUUCUUUGUUCUUGAAUUUUGAUUAUUUUUUAUUUAAAAUGAAGAGAAAAGAAAAGAAAAGAAAAAAAGAAAUAAUUGUUAUGUGAUUGAGAUGGAAGAAAACAAAAGAAUAGAUAGAAUAGUAGAUAGAAGAGUUUAAGACACAAAAACCCACCAAUACCCAUGAAACAGUACCCUUAAACCCUUUAUAGCUACGUUGUUAAC
Molecule: long non-coding RNA, 626 nt
Filed under: Trifolium pratense (red clover)
Lineage: Eukaryota; Viridiplantae; Streptophyta; Magnoliopsida; Fabales; Fabaceae
Description: long non-coding RNA (TPRA_LNC008950)
Source: RNAcentral